AGAGUUUGAUCAUGGCUCAGAAUCAACGCUGGCGGCGUGCCUAACACAUGCAAGUCGAACGCGGUUGCCCCGCAGGGGGCAACUGAGUGGCAAACGGGUGAGUAACACGUGGGUGACCUGCCUUCGAGCGGGGGAUAACGUUCCGAAAGGGACGCUAAUACCGCGUAACAUCCUGCCUUUGAACAGGUGGAGAUCAAAGCUGGGGAUCGCAAGACCCGGCACUUGAAGAGGGGCCCGCGUCUGAUUAGCUAGUUGGUGAGGUAACGGCUCACCAAGGCGACGAUCAGUAUCCGGCCUGAGAGGGCGGACGGACACACUGGGACUGAGACACGGCCCAGACUCCUACGGGAGGCAGCAGUGGGGAAUUGUUCGCAAUGGGCGCAAGCCUGACGACGCAACGCCGCGUGGAGGAUGAAGAUUUUCGGAUCGUAAACUCCUGUCGAAUGGGACGAAUAGGUCACGGCUUAAUACGCCGUGAUCCUGACGGUACCGUUAAAGGAAACCCCGGCUAACUCCGUGCCAGCAGCCGCGGUAAUAC
RNAcentral lists this ribosomal RNA (538 nucleotides) under uncultured bacterium. RNAcentral's name for it is "bacterial SSU rRNA". It matches the Rfam family "Bacterial small subunit ribosomal RNA", at positions 8 to 526 of the family's 1533-position model. The record is from RNAcentral.